GACGAACGCUGGCGGCGCGCCUAACACAUGCAAGUCGAACGAGAGAGAGGGAGCUUGCUUCCUCAAUCGAGUGGCGAACGGGUGAGUAACGCGUGAGGAACCUGCCUCAAAGAGGGGGACAACAGUUGGAAACGACUGCUAAUACCGCAUAAGCCCACAGGUCGGCAUCGACCAGAGGGAAAAGGAGCAAUCCGCUUUGAGAUGGCCUCGCGUCCGAUUAGCUAGUUGGUGAGGUAAUGGCCCACCAAGGCAACGAUCGGUAGCUGGACUGAGAGGUUGAACGGCCACAUUGGGACUGAGACACGGCCCAGACUCCUACGGGAGGCAGCAGUGGGGAAUAUUGCACAAUGGGGGAAACCCUGAUGCAGCGACGCCGCGUGGAGGAAGAAGGUCUUCGGAUUGUAAACUCCUGUUGUUGAGGAAGAUAAUGACGGUACUCAACAAGGAAGUGACGGCUAACUACGUGCCAGCAGCCGCGGUAAAACGUAGGUCACAAGCGUUGUCCGGAAUUACUGGGUGUAAAGGGAGCGCAGGCGGGAAGACAAGUUGGAAGUGAAAUCUAUGGGCUCAACCCAUAAACUGCUUUCAAAACUGUUUUUCUUGAGUAGUGCAGAGGUAGGCGGAAUUCCCGGUGUAGCGGUGGAAUGCGUAGAUAUCGGGAGGAACACCAAUGGCCGAAGGCGGCCUACUGGGCACCAACUGACGCUGAGGCUCGAAAGUGUGGGUAGCAAACAGGAUUAGAUACCCUGGUAGUCCACACCGUAAACGAUGAUUACUAGGUGUUGGAGGAUUGACCCCUUCAGUGCCGCAGUUAACACAAUAAGUAAUCCACCUGGGGAGUACGACCGCAAGGUUGAAACUCAAAGGAAUUGACGGGGGCCCGCACAAGCAGUGGAGUAUGUGGUUUAAUUCGACGCAACGCGAAGAACCUUACCAAGUCUUGACAUCCUGCGACGGACAUAGAAAUAUGUUUUUCCUUCGGGACGCAGAGACAGGUGGUGCAUGGUUGUCGUCAGCUCGUGUCGUGAGAUGUUGGGUUAAGUCCCGCAACGAGCGCAACCCUUACUGUCAGUUACUACGCAAGAGGACUCUGGCAGGACUGCCGUUGACAAAACGGAGGAAGGUGGGGAUGACGUCAAAUCAUCAUGCCCUUUAUGACUUGGGCUACACACGUACUACAAUGGCGUUAAACAAAGAGAAGCAAGACCGCGAGGUGAAGCAAAACUCAGAAACAACGUCCCAGUUCGGACUGCAGGCUGCAACUCGCCUGCACGAAGUCGGAAUUGCUAGUAAUCGUGGAUCAGCAUGCCACGGUGAAUACGUUCCCGGGCCUU
RNAcentral lists this ribosomal RNA (1334 nucleotides) under uncultured bacterium. RNAcentral's name for it is "bacterial SSU rRNA". It matches the Rfam family "Bacterial small subunit ribosomal RNA", at positions 28 to 1382 of the family's 1533-position model. The record is from RNAcentral.